This 492-nucleotide ribosomal RNA is filed under the name uncultured bacterium. RNAcentral's name for it is "partial 16S ribosomal RNA". It matches the Rfam family "Bacterial small subunit ribosomal RNA", at positions 28 to 507 of the family's 1533-position model. The record is from RNAcentral.
GAUGAACGCUAGCUACAGGCUUAACACAUGCAAGUCGAGGGGAAACGACAUCGAAAGCUUGCUUUUGAUGGGCGUCGACCGGCGCACGGGUGAGUAACGCGUAUCCAACCUGCCCACCACUUGGGGAUAACCUUGCGAAGGUAAGACUAAUACCCAAUGACGUCUCUAGAAGACAUCUGAAAGAGAUUAAAGAUUUAUCGGUGAUGGAUGGGGAUGCGUCUGAUUAGCUUGUUGGCGGGGUAACGGCCCACCAAGGCGACGAUCAGUAGGGGUUCUGAGAGGAAGGUCCCCCACAUUGGAACUGAGACACGGUCCAAACUCCUACGGGAGGCAGCAGUGAGGAAUAUUGGUCAAUGGACGAGAGUCUGAACCAGCCAAGUAGCGUGCAGGAUGACGGCCCUAUGGGUUGUAAACUGCUUUUAUAAGGGAAUAAAGUGAGUCUAGUGAGACUUUUUGCAUGUACCUUAUGAAUAAGGACCGGCUAAUUCCGUG